UGGCGGACGGGUGGGUAAUGUCUGGGAAACGUCUCGAUGGAGGGGGAUAACUACUGGAAACGGUAGCUAAUACCGCAUAACGUCGCAAGACCAAAGAGGGGGACCUUAGGGCCUCUUGCCAUCGGAUGUGCCCAGAUGGGAUUAGCUAGUAGGUGGGGUAACGGCUCACCUAGGCGACGAUCCCUAGCUGGUCUGAGAGGAUGACCAGCCACACUGGAACUGAGACACGGUCCAG
RNAcentral lists this ribosomal RNA (235 nucleotides) under uncultured bacterium. Its description in RNAcentral is "partial 16S ribosomal RNA". It matches the Rfam family "Bacterial small subunit ribosomal RNA", at positions 96 to 334 of the family's 1533-position model. The record is from RNAcentral.